This is a long non-coding RNA of Marmota flaviventris (yellow-bellied marmot), 213 nucleotides long. RefSeq lists it as uncharacterized. NCBI's taxonomy places the organism in Eukaryota, Metazoa, Chordata, Mammalia, Rodentia, Sciuridae. The record is from RefSeq and is a predicted model, not a curated record.
UGACGCUUUUAUGGAAAACAUAUUAUUAUCACCAUUUUAUAGCUGACCAACCUGAGGCUUAAAAACGUCAAGAAGCUUCCCUCUGAAACAGGAAAAUUGUGCUUUGUUUUCAUCACCAGAGCCAUAGCAAGCCACAUAUUCAACUAAGUUCCUCAGGCAUGCCCCAAGGUUAUACCCUCGCUUCUCUGGAUGCAACCAUUAACUCCAAGCAGG